GUGCCCCUGCGCUGAGCGAGUGACCUUAUGUUGCCUGAGCCGAUGCAUGUCAAAUGGGAGCUUUGCUACACUGAUUGUGCGCGUCCCACUUGAUUGGGAUACCUAACAUCAGCGUGCUGCGCCCACCUCGUGUUCGAGGGUUCGACGACUUGCCGUCAUUACGUCAGUGCGGGGGUUCU
Molecule: non-coding RNA, 179 nt
Filed under: Mariprofundaceae bacterium
Lineage: Bacteria; Pseudomonadati; Pseudomonadota; Candidatius Mariprofundia; Mariprofundales; Mariprofundaceae
Description: 6S RNA
Rfam family: 6S / SsrS RNA
About the family: E. coli 6S RNA was the first non coding RNA to be sequenced, but its function was unknown until recently. It consists of 184 nucleotides that fold into an extended hairpin structure with a large single-stranded internal bulge. The 6S RNA specifically associates with RNA polymerase holoenzyme containing the sigma70 specificity factor.
Source: RNAcentral